This 161-nucleotide ribosomal RNA is filed under the name Olea europaea subsp. europaea. RNAcentral describes it as "Eukaryotic small subunit ribosomal RNA". It matches the Rfam family "Eukaryotic small subunit ribosomal RNA", at positions 1667 to 1823 of the family's 1831-position model. Lineage: Eukaryota; Viridiplantae; Streptophyta; Magnoliopsida; Lamiales; Oleaceae. The record is from Rfam by way of RNAcentral.
CACCACCCGUCGCUCCUAUCAACUGAAUGGUCCAGUAAAGUGUUUGAAUUGCAGUGAUGUGGGCGGUCUACUGCCCGCGGCGUCAUGAGAAGUCCACUAUACCUUAUCAAUUAGAGGAAGGAAAAGUCAUAACAAGGUUUUUUUAGGUAAACUAGUAGAAG